GCCUACGGCCAUACCACCCUGAACACGCCCGAUUUUGUCUGAUCUCGGAAGCUAGGCAGGGUUGGGCCCGGUUAGUACCUGGCUGGGAGACCGCCUGGGAAUACCGGGUGCUGUAGACU
Ribosomal RNA from Alligator mississippiensis (American alligator), 119 nucleotides. NCBI's taxonomy places the organism in Eukaryota, Metazoa, Chordata, Crocodylia, Alligatoridae. The record is from Rfam.